CAGUAGCCACGGUAAUACGGAGGGUGCAAGCGUUAUCCGGAUUUAUUGGGUUAAAGGGUCCGUAGGCGGACUUAUAAGUCAGUGGUGAAAGCCUGUCGCUUAACGAUAGAACUGCCAUUGAUACUGUAAGUCUUGAGUAUAUUUGAGGUAGCUGGAAUAAGUAGUGUAGCGGUGAAAUGCAUAGAUAUUACUUAGAACACCAAUUGCGAAGGCAGGUUACCAAGAUAUAACUGACGCUGAGGGACGAAAGCGUGGGUAGCGAACAGGAUUAGAUACCCCGGUAGUCCCUGUCUCUUAUACA
Molecule: ribosomal RNA, 301 nt
Filed under: uncultured bacterium
Lineage: Bacteria
Description: partial 16S ribosomal RNA
Rfam family: Bacterial small subunit ribosomal RNA
Source: RNAcentral